Molecule: long non-coding RNA, 658 nt
Filed under: Canis lupus familiaris (dog)
Lineage: Eukaryota; Metazoa; Chordata; Mammalia; Carnivora; Canidae
Description: lncRNA (ENSCAFG00000052342.1)
Source: RNAcentral
GUCUGUAUGAGCUGUUGGCUGUUGUGCCAGGCCGGCUGGGGCCACGUGUGGACAGCCAGGAAGACCUGACCUUCCUCUGGGAUAUGUUUGGUGAGAAAAGCCUGCAUUCACCGGUAAAGAUCUUCACAAUAUCCUGGGUAGCCUUAUGUUGUGAGGUGGAAGUCUCUACUCUUCUGUGGUAGUGCUAAGUUGCCAGUGGAAACUGCCCAUGGGCCACAUGAGAGACCACGGAUCCUGUAAUGCUGGGAGGCAUAAAGCUGGCACAGAAGUGCUGCAGAGAGGCUGUCACCAGUUAGAGGGAAGGAGCCAGAGAAGCAAGAGGUGUGGCAACAGCCAAGGGUCUUCAAAGGUAGAUGGACUGUGCACUCCCUUCCUGAAUGGGAGACCAGCACAGAGACCUUGGGGGCACGCCCUGCCCAGCCCUGCCCAGCCUCGCCCAGGCUCCAGCCGGAGGCUCCGCCCCAGGCCAUGGCCUUCCACUUGCUCACGUGACCAUGCCACAGGCAUGCAGAGAGGCAGGCUGAGCUCUGCCAGGCCAGCAGGGUCCGUGCCAGGCCUGGUGGACUUCGAGGACAAGGAGCAGGUGAAGGCCUUUCUGGAGAACGUGGUGGAGUGCAAGUACCAGUGCUACUGUGAGAAGGACCCGAAUGAUUCAUGA